UACGGAGGGUGCGAGCGUUAAUCGGAAUAACUGGGCGUAAAGGGCACGCAGGCGGUGACUUAAGUGAGGUGUGAAAGCCCUGGGCUUAACCUGGGAAUUGCAUUUCAUACUGGGUCGCUAGAGUACUUUAGGGAGGGGUAGAAUUCCACGUGUAGCGGUGAAAUGCGUAGAGAUGUGGAGGAAUACCGAAGGCGAAGGCAGCCCCUUGGGAAUGUACUGACGCUCAUGUGCGAAAGCGUGGGGAGCAAACAGG
RNAcentral lists this ribosomal RNA (253 nucleotides) under Haemophilus parainfluenzae ATCC 33392. Its description in RNAcentral is "partial 16S ribosomal RNA". It matches the Rfam family "Bacterial small subunit ribosomal RNA", at positions 524 to 776 of the family's 1533-position model. The record is from RNAcentral. Lineage: Bacteria; Pseudomonadati; Pseudomonadota; Gammaproteobacteria; Pasteurellales; Pasteurellaceae.